GUCCACGCGGUAAACGAUGGGCACUAGGUGUAGGGGGUAUCCACUACUCCUGUGCCGCAGCUAACGCAUUAAGUGCCCCGCCUGGGGAGUACGGCCGCAAGGUUAAAACUCAAAGGAAUUGACGGGGGCCCGCACAAGCGGUGGAGCAUGUGGUUUAAUUCGACGCAACGCGAAGAACCUUACCUGGGCUUGACAUCCCCGGAACCCCCUGGAAACAGGGGGGUGUCCCCGAAAGGGGAAGCCGGGAGACAGGUGCUGCAUGGCUGUCGU
This 270-nucleotide ribosomal RNA is filed under the name uncultured bacterium. Its description in RNAcentral is "partial 16S ribosomal RNA". It matches the Rfam family "Bacterial small subunit ribosomal RNA", at positions 793 to 1055 of the family's 1533-position model. The record is from RNAcentral.